Long non-coding RNA from Saccostrea cuccullata (small rock oyster), 2084 nucleotides. RefSeq lists it as uncharacterized. The record is from RefSeq and is a predicted model, not a curated record. The transcript has 4 exons. Lineage: Eukaryota; Metazoa; Mollusca; Bivalvia; Ostreida; Ostreidae.
UUUAGUUAUUAUAUAGCGCUCAGCAUUUCCAGUUGGCACUUUUAAGAUUACGUUCGUGUUUACCGGGAUGCCAGGGUUUAAAGGCAGGUUUGUUAAAGACUCUCUGGUUAUAAAAAUUGAAGGAUUAGAUAAAGGAAGAAGCAAUCGAAAAACAAAACAGAUUUAUAACAUGUGACGAAACAAAUGGUGUGCCAGUAAGUGACUUAGAUUACAGUUAUCAUUAUCAUAGAGUUAUGGCUGUGACGGUGAGAAUAUUCAUGUUGUUAGAGAAGAAAAGACAUAUUCGGUUUAGGAAGAUGAGAAAAUAAAUCAGUGGAGAGUGGGCAGACGUGUAGUUGAGCUUGGGGUUCUUGCGGAUGGUCUAAGCAGUUGUCAGUUAUGCGGACAGCCACUGCAAUUGUCAAAUUGUGUAGGGGAACUCAAAAUUCGGCCUUGCACAUGUAGCCCUACUACUUGUCAAGUGCAAAGUUACAGACUUUGGGCUAGUAUUGAAGAGGCAACAGGAAGCAAACACCAGACUUCAAAUGGCAGAAAUGCAUGUGAUGUAAAUACCAAACUAGCAGCAGGUAAUCUGAAUUUCAUUACAUGGUUUAUUCACAUAUUCAAAUUGGAUCAUGAAUAAUAAAAGGAGGAUUUGCCGAUUUGGUGAAACACAUGUAAAUUCACUCCUGGCUGCUUUAAACAUACCCAGCGUUUCUCAGAUAACUCUGAAGAAUAGAGGAAGAGAGGUCGGGCAACAAUUUGGACAAAUGACAGGGGAAACUUGUAAUGAAAGUGUGCAGGAGGAGAUGAGAUUGUAAUUGUUGUAUGCCAUUUUCUAGCAAUACAUGACCUAGUUAUAUUUUCAUUUGCAAUUAUUUUUUUAAAAAUUAUGUCGUUAAUUAAAAAUUUUAUUGUUUAAGAGUGAAGGGAGUCUGGCGUUUAUAUCUGAUGGUGCUUGGCAGAAGAGGGGUACCUGGAGAGCUUAUAAUAGUCUUACAGGACUUGCCUCUCUGUUGGAGAAAAAUCGAAGAAAAUAGUCGUUUUUCAGGGGAAAAAAAGUAUGGUAUGUGCAGCUGCCAAAUUAAAGGGUAAUCCUCCCAGGCAACACAAGUGCUGUAAGAACUCAACUGGAUCGGUGAAGGCUAUGAAGCCUCAGCCUGCCAUGGCCUGCGAGAUGUUGGAGAAGAUCGAGAAUGUAGGGGGAAAGGUAGAUACUGUGAUUAUGGACAAAGACUCAACUACCAUGGCAAGAGAAAAAGAUAAUGUUGAUCCCAAUAUGAGCAAAAGAUCCGACAGUAAUCACACGAAGAAGGGAUUUACGGGUGCAUUAGUAGAACUGAGCAGCAAGCAUAAAGUUUUAAGUUGUAACAUAACUUUAUCUAUAUCCUGUGCUGGUAUUACUGAAGUAAAAGCAGUAUUAAAUUGUUUGUAUUUGAGUGCAUGCCUGUAAAGAAGAAUGUUGCAUUGGUUUAGCCAUAUUUGUACAUGUACGGACAUGUUUUAAUUAUUGAUGAGUUGUCAAAAAAUGCAUUUAAAAGAUUUUUUUAAAAACAAAUUUACUUGUUAUGUUUUAUAAUGCAUGAAAAUGAUAUUUGAGUGUGAUUUUUCUUUUAAAUAUGUUUGUUACUGAUAUUUUUGAGUUGAAUUUGUUUGAUCGGCAAGGGGGGUAUACAUGAUCUAGAAGGUGUAGAAAAAUAAAAAGCCUGAAAAGUACUAAUUUUUUUUGGCUUUUUAGUUGCAACAGAUAUUAAUCUAAUAUUUUAAAUGAAAAAAGAAUGUGUUUAUCCAUUACUUUAUGAAAAAAUGUGUAAAAAUGACGAUAUUGUAAAAAAUUUUAAAGCACCAAAUUGAUAUCAUAUUCCAAAAAAAAGUUAUAUUAUAAAAUAAAUAUUCAUAUAUGAGACUGGUUAUGCCUUUCCUACAUAUUAAUGAAUAAACAACUACAUUUGAAAGUAAUUUUGCUUUUAUAUUGCUUUUGAUAUGAGCCAUAUAUUGAGCGUGGAUGAAAUAGUGUCGUGAAAGAAGGGGGUAUACGUCAUCGAGGCACUCUAAUUUGAAAAAUAACAUGAAAAGUUAUUUAUUUUUUAUGCUUUUUAUUUAGA